UCAGGCAGCACUGCUCCGUGCACCGUCCCACCCACCAAUGCACAAAGGAAAAAUAAUGCUUUUGCAGCAUUGCCAAAUGGCCACCAGAGGAUUUAAUUUGUCAAUAAGCUGCACGAAUGCCCAGGCCACCUCCAUCUGCUGCUGUGACAGAACACAAUUAACAGGAAAAUCCCAGGUACUUUCCUUCACUAAUUUUUCAAAUCUGUUUCUGGUGAACUUGGAAAAAAUUGCAUAAGAAACCUGGCUUUGAACCUGAUGCUUAUGUUUAUUGCUUGGUUGCUUUGGUCUCAGUGGAGGAUGCAAGUGAGUGGUAGGAGCAGGGCAGGAAGAACAGCACGGAGAAAUGCCAGGAGAUGAGUCUGAGCAGAAUUCAAGACAGCAAAAUGCUCAGAGUGGGAGGAGAAGGGGGUGAGGGCCAGAGUGUGGAAACCUGGAUGCUCUUUUGUGCAAAAAGUCCCAAGGCUGUUGUAUCUUGGGGACCUCGUGGUUACAGCAUGGUUGCUUAUCGCUGUGAAUGGCAGAUUUCAGGGAUGUCCCAGGAAGACCUUUCCAUCUGACAUUCAGUUCAGCAGAAAAGAGAGCCAGGUUUGUAUGUUAUCUAAUUACACACAGGUCCACGUGCCUUGGUGUGCGCAGCACUGCUUGCUCUGGGUCAGGUUUGGCAAAGUGUGUGCUCUGUGCUCGUAGCACUGCUGUGUGGCUGAGUGAGCUCAGUCACAGGGUGACAGCCGUAGCCUCGGAUUCCCUUCCUCUCCCUUUCCUUUGCAAAACUUCAAAAACAAAUAAGCAAAACCACCCAGACCAGAUUGAAACUACCUGAAAACUGCUCUAGAUAUUCUUUUUACUAACUGAAAUCUGAGAAUAUCCAUGGGUGUGCUGGGCAAGGUAAGGUUCUCUGGGCUUAAUGAUCCUGAUCAUCAGUUUGUUGGGGCGUACAGCUGGAGUUAUCUUAAUAACUGGAGCAGCACACGCUCUGAUGCAUUUAACCCCCAGCUGCAAUCAGGAACAAGAGCUCUCUCCCCCAGCUGCUGACAAACACCUCCCUGAGACUUAUUUCCCCUUGUGCUCCCAGAGCUGCAGGUUGGCAGUGGGUCUGGUGGCAUGGAACAUGCCCAUCUCCCAUUGAAAAUACAGCCAGCGCCUUCGCAUGGUGAAACCAUGCUGAAAUAACCUACUUGCUCAAUAACACUCCCAGUGUCCCUACUCACUCCUACCGGUGGCUGAAAUGCUGGGUGGAUGUCAUGAUGAUCUUCUGGCAACCCCCAAUGGAAGAAAUAGAACACCAAUUUAAAACACAAAGAAAAGGCUCAAGGAAUCUAUCAUUAUUAAUCCCACUGUCAGUUUUAAUUUGGGGGACAUUACCUCACUCAACACUCAUUGGAAAGAGCUGCCAAAAAUGAUGAUGUCAUCAUCACCAGACACAUCUGACCCUGGCUGCUGAUUGCCAGUGUUGAGUGCAAGUUAAUAAAUCCCCUGGUACCUGGACACACAUUGGGGUUUUAUUACAAUGCAGGCAUUCCAUGAUACGCUGGUAAUUAAACAGUCUGGGGCGGAAAGAAACCAAGCCACUGCUUUCUCCUAUUUAGAAAAACUGUAAAAUAUAAUUGUCUUUCAGAUCAGCUUCCUUCAACUGUCAUGUAAAACCUGUAUUUUGAUUGUACCAAACGGGUAGGAGGAAAAGUUGGAGGUAGGCAGAAAUGGGAGAUAAAGUAAGUGGUAGAUCUGAGCUCCUCCCCAAGAGCUGGAACUUCCUAAGCUUGUGCAUCAGGGCAGAAUCCUGACACCUCAAAGGCAGGACAAAACCCUGUCUGAAGUCCUCAUACUGGCCCUCACUAGGAGCAAUAAAUAUUGCUUAUGAGUAGUGGAUCUGCGUUUUGACUCUUAGCCCAUCCCCAGACGUACCCACGAGAUGAGACAGACAGAGUAUUCAUCGUGUUGCCACACUCCCGUGGCAAAAGCAGCAUAACAACUCCCAGAUUUAUAGAGCCCAAUGAAUAAAAGAGCAAUUGAAAUAGACGUCAUAUUGAUGAAGCAAAGUCUUUGAAAACAGGAGUAGAGCCGGGGUCUUUCACACUGGAGAAAGCUUUCAAGUUGUGCUCAUUUGCAGCUGACAUCUGUUUACCUUUAGAGGUCUAUAAAUAAUAUUACCGCUUCUCUUUAUUGACUACUGGUGGUGAUACUUUUCUUCUGUUUACAGACCUUCUCCUCUCUCUUGAUACUGGAGUUUUCUGGCUGAGCAAUUUGACAUCAUCAUCAUCACAGACAUUUCCCCUAUCUCUAUAGCAACGUAUGAUGAUGCCACAAACAGAAGAUUAUGCAAUCUGUGUAGACUCAGAUGGAAGGAGAGGCAGGGCUGGGAGCUGUGAUUUAAACACAAAUGUCUCUAAUAGCAGCAAGGGGAAUACAGAAACUUUUUGGCCAUGGAAAUGGUUUUAGUAUAAACAUUCUCAUCUUCCAAGUUUUGCUCCGGUGGGAAAGUUUCUCCUUAAAGUCCUCUUAUACAUAUGUGUGUUGUAUAUACACGUUCACACACAGAUAUAUUUAUUUAUGUGUAAAAGAAUGCAAUGAUUAUGCAAAUGCACUAUUGUUCCCACCAUUGUGCAGGCAGGGAUGUGCAUGCAUACUGUGCACCAUUGUGCAGGCAGGGAUGCUGCCAGCACCCUAAACAUAACCUCUACAUUUUCGAAGACCUACCGUGCUCUGCUCAUGUCAGGCACAAAAAUGCUGUGGAUCUGCCCAGAUCUCAUGUUCCCUUUUCAGCUGAGGGCUGCUGCAUCAGACCCUACUGAAUGUCUUUUUUUUUCAUGUAUGAUAUAGGAAUGAUUGUGUCCUUGGCUAGGUGGGACCAGCAUCCUCCUCUUUCAGACCCACUCUAUCCUUUCCCUACCAGCUUUGUCCUGCAGUUAAGGCAGAGAAGGAGAAGGGCCAGUUUGAAAUCUCAACCCUCACAAAGACUUUCUAGCUAAGCCUAAGGAAGUGCCUUUGAAACCCUCUCUGUGCCUCAGUUUCUCCUGCAGUAGGACUAAUAAGCCUCAGUUCUUAAAGAAGUGGUGAGAAUAACUCCACUCUAUUUCAAAUGCUCAGACUCUUCAAUAAGGGGAUCCAUGGAGACUUUGAAAAACACACUUAUGGGUGCUUCUUCUAUGUUUAUCUUGUUUUUAUUGAACAUACAAAUGCAUCCUAUCUAGCACACGUCAGAAUCAAUAACUAUGCCUUGUUAGCAGUUUUUCCAUUUAUGGCAUAUUGUCCUGACAUAGCUGUAAAACCUCAAUGAAUAUGGUUUUAAUAACCCAAUGGUAUUUAACGUACAAUCGCUGUCUUAUUAAGUCUAAAUUAAAUCCUUACUUGAGACAUUUAAUUUAAAGUGUGACUGAUCUUUUCCUGGCCUGGAAGGAGAUACUUAAAUGACACUUCUUCCAAUUUGGCCACGUGGCUGAGGGGGUGGGAUUUAAAUUAUAUAUUUUGAUGAUACUACUCAUCUUGUUAAAGCUGAAUUGCAUCAUUUUAUGAACACUCAGAGACGGGAUCAAAUUAAACCCAACUUCCCACCAAGUUAACUCAGCUGAGCUUCAAGCUUAGCACUGUAUUCAAAACACACACACACUGUGACUAUCCACUCAGCAGCAUCUGCUUGGCUUUUCCAAAGGAAAAAAUGAAAUGCACCAUAUUUUUCUACUCAGAGCCUCUUGUGGGGUGCCUUUUGAGUUGACAAAGACAAGGCUUACAUUCUGCUGUGGGCACACUAAUAAAAUAAACCUAAUAAAAUAAACAUUACAUGCAAUAACGAUGCUACUAAAUCUAAGUUCAAUGUGUAGCUAAAGUGUUACCCACAGAUCUAUUUAGAGCAAUGUGCUGGACUUCCUUCCAUCCUUUCCCAACCCAGAGUCACAUAAACAUUCAUUAAAUUGAAAGCAUUGUCAGGGCUAAUGGGAGUUUCCACAAGCAACUUUGGCAUGUGCAAAACUGAGGAGCGUGCAGAGCACACAGAUAGAUGACGUGCCAUGAUUUCUGCAUGCCAAGGCCACCACUGAAGAAGGGCUGGUGUGGGAAGACAACAGAAACCAUCCCAUACUUUGCUGCUGUCCUUUGUGUUUGGGCCACACAACGAUUUUUUUUGUUGGAUGAAUGCAAGUUGUGCAGUUGAAAGUGCACAGGAAAGGAAAGCACCCUUUGGUAUAGGCAGAUAUGGGAUUUUAGAUAUUAGUCUCUGGAAGGCAGCGCAGCCAAGUGACUAUGGCAGUGAAUGGGGAGUGUGGAGAAGGAGGGGCACAGUGCUGUGGGGUGACUUCUCCCCCAUGCUAGGCCCUGGCUCCUUGGGCAGCUGCUGGGAGGACAAGAUGCAGAGCUGCUGGGGCAGCACACCUUCAUUUGAAAGUUACAGUCCUGAAAGGAGGAGAAUGGGCAUUUUCUUUUUAACGUCACUGCCACUAUAGUCUGCAGUGAGGGCAGCAUAACACUUCAAGCUGAAAUAUUCGUAUUCCUAUUAUGUUCUCCAUCCAAGAAUUUAACUGCUAUUUGGUUCAGUUCAGUCUAGAUGAUUGAUUUCUCCUGGAUGCUGUGGUGAGAAUUGUUUUAAUAGUUUACAGAUGGACAAAUGAAACAGGGAGGUGUCCAAUGUUUUGCCCAGCACUGCAAGCUGCGCCAGUGGCAGAAUGAUUGUAUCCCUGCUUGAUCCCUGCCAGGUUUGAUCCUUCUUUUUCCCUUUUGUAAAAUCUGACUUCCUCCCUAGCAUGUGUACACUUUAAUAGCUGAAUCACAGCAGUAGAAAAUGAUGAGACUGAAAACACCGAUGAAGACUGUUCAAAGUGAUAUUUGUUCUUCUUGUUCUACAUCUGGAACUAUUCUUACUCCAAUUAUUCCAUUGCAGAUAUAUUAGUUUGGCACCGUUGUUGUAGCUACUGCAAUAUCUAUUUAUUUAACAGUUUUUCAAAUAAGGCAUUGAAGCUCAAAAGUUUUGAGAGCUUUUCCAGGAUGAAAUAGAAAGGAUGGGAAUGUGCUUGCCCAGAGUGUUUUCUCUAUACCUCUUUGGUCUAUCGUUAAUUAGGAAGGGUUUCAAGUGAUAAAACCCACUUGUAUAUAAGUCAUCCACAUGCUAAAUUAAAGUGGGCAAACUGACAUGGCAGUUAAACCCUCAAAGCCUGAAAUCAAUCAAUUACAAUCUAUGGAAAAUUACUCUGAGCACAUUAACAUCCUUUAAUACACAAACGCAGAUUUAUUUUUACAUCCCUCUGCAUAAUAACUAUGCACAAAUUUUCUGUCCAUCCCAGUUUCAUCCCAACCCAGGCAUCACACUCUCCUCAUUCCACUACUUCAGCUUCACAGGAGUCAAUAGCUCUCCAGGGUGAAGUGGAAGCAAUGGGUCAGGCUGGGAUCUUGCAUGUCCCAGCUCUAGCCAGGCUAGAUGUGGACACUGUGCUCCAGCUCCAUAUCAUUCAAUGCUCUCAGAAUGAGAUUUAAGAAAUCCUACUAAGAAAAGUACUGAGGCUAAUUCAGCUCUUUUGGACAGUGCCAAGCUAUGGAGCAGCUAUAUGAGAGCCUCAGGUGGAGCAGGAGAGGACAGAAAAGGAUGAUGAGUACCUGGAGGCAAGAAGAUUGCUGGUUCCAACCCCAAAGAAUGAGCAUGCAGAGAAGAAAACUGGAUGCAAAAAGUGCUGGAAAGGAGAGCUAGCAGAACAGAUCAGUUGCAGAGCAAUGGGACUUAAUGGUUUCUAGGGGCUAAGGACACAUACCAUCUGUCCUUCUGUGUACCCUUGCAAGUACUCAGCAUUAAUAUCUGAGGGCCUUUUAGUGCCACUGAAGAAUUUAUUCUCACAAUACCACUGGGAGAAAGAGGAUUUGAGAGCUCUUAUUUCAGUAGAAGAAGGAAUUUGAGAAACUGAGCCACAGAGCUAUUGCUUUCCACUUAGCUCCUGUCUAUGGAUUUUGUCAAAAGAUUACAAGACUAGAUAGACGAACUGGGGAGCAUCAUGAAUUUUAUUCUCUGCCUAGGCAUCAGUGCUUCUAGAGGUCUCGAAGUGUAUAUAAUUGUUUCAGAUGAUCUGGGCUAAGUGACCCCAGAUAGAAAGUGCAGUAGGCCAACAAACCAAGGGGUUUGAGGUAUUUUUAAUUGCACUGUCAAAAGCUAACAGUUUGCUGAAGGAGAAAGAAGCCUGGGCUUGUGAAAAGGGGCAGUUCAUUGUGCUGCCAGUGAAGCUCUGAAAUGGGGCUUUCUAUGUUUUCUAUCAAGAAAUUGACCUAAUAAAAAUUGGUCUUUACGCAAAGACGAAAUAUUCUGCGGGAAAAUUCUGACUGCUGAGCAGCCCCCUCCCCCUGGGAAAAUUUAAACAGGACUUCCUGGCUUCCCGAUGGGAAGAUUUUUGCCAAUUUUAUUUUCUGCCUGAAGGCAAAAAACAAAACAACAAAUGUAUGCAAGUUUUCCAACAGCCAGCAGAGCUGGGAGAAGGACAGGAAGGCCGAGUGCCCUGGCUGUCUGCCUCUGCCCAUUGGGUGGGAGAGAAGGGAGGCAAGGGCCCUGGAAGGUCUACCCAAAUGUUUACUGUUAGCUUGAAUUUUAACUUACUGAAAAAUCCAUUAUUUUUUUUUUCCCCGGGGAGUGAUGGAUGCAGAUUUGUUCUUAAAAAAAUAAUAAUUAAAAAACUUCUUGGAAGAAAUUGGCAUUUUCUAGCCUGUUCUCCCAAUGCAACAGAUACAAGAAAGCUGAAAGUACAACUGGGACAGUAUAUUUUGAGCAGAAGUCUGCAAUACCUUAGCAGUUUCACCAGAUAAGCAAUAUUUGAUUAAUAUUGGACAGCAGGAGGAGACAAUAAAGGAUAGUAUGGACAUAUUGGAGAAGCACUCAGAAAAGCCACUCAUGGAUUUGCAAUAUUCCAGCACUGAUUGCCAAUGGUGCAUUAAAAUAUUGCCACAGAAGCAUUUCCCUAGACCUAGUGCAGGAUAAACCGAUGAACAACCCCCUCCUCCCUCAUUCCACACACCUCCUUCUGUGAUAUUUCCACCCAUUUCCUCUGUUUAUUGCCCGUGGCUUGAACAAGGUUCAUUCAAAUGAAUUUAAAGCAGAGAUAAAUAUUGUCAAUUCAAAUCACGGCUUUUCAGUCUGUCCCCAGGGUUGUCCCCAGGGCAAGCAUCCCUUGCUGAAACAGGUCAUACUCCUUCUCUAGAUGAGGCUGUUGAGUCAUGAAGAAAAAGGUGAAGGGUGGCGAAAGAAAGACAAGGAAGGGAAAAAAGUAGUAAGCGAGCAAACAAUUCACAGAGCAAGGAGGACAUUUGAGCUUGUGUUUCUUUUCUCAUUGUAGUUUAUUCCAAAUCCUGCCACAGCCUUCCUGGAGCAGGGGGAAGGGCACUGGCUGAUUUGCAUCUUAUGUUACUGCUGACAGUAGGAGGUCUUAAUUGGGGCACCAAAGAGCAGGUGUAUGCUAACGUUAAUCUUCCCUUUCACCUGUCACUCAUGCAAUGAAUAUGAUCUCUCCCUCUCAUUAGCAGCCCUCUGUCACAUGCCAGAGAGCUUUGGAAGGGUCCCUCUGAAACUUGUGGGGAUUGAUUUUGCUGCCUGCACUGGGUUAUUACUGCUGUACUCUGGACAGCCACUCCCCAGGAGCACAGCCAUGCAGUGGGUGUACAGACAAGCGCUGCUUAAUAGUCUCAAAUCGUAUGUGCCUUGGAAAAAUGAACAUUAAUUCCUCUAUUGGCUUUACAGAUAGUGACUGACUCAUUUUGAAAAUAACACGUUGUGCCUUGAGUGUUGCAGAGAUGACCUUAGGAGGAAAGUUAAUUUAGAAAAGAUACUCAAUUUGGUAUUAUCUCCAAAUGUUGAUUCCUGGAAUCAUUACUCAUAACUUAGUCAGGCAAAACUUCCCUGGAUUUCAAGGGCUCUGGUUGGUGCCAAGAGGAAAUUGGCCUGGGAGAGAAUGAAAUCCUAACUCCAGAAUUUGAACCUCUACCUCUUGCAGUUCAUCUGCCAUAGCAGCAAAGGGCUCACCAGUGCAGAUUAUUAGGAAACAACCAUGAAGAGCCAAAAGGAACCAAACUUUAUUUGUCUUGCCUUCAUGCACUGGAGAGUAAGCACUGCAAACUCUGCAUCUUGGGAGGAACCUGCAGAAAGGACUGCUAUCUCCGUCUGCUGGCUGAGCCUCCUGCGCAGAGAGAAGAAGAAAGGAAAGAUCUCACAAAGAGUUUAUCUGAACUUUAUACAUUCUUCUAGUGCUGCUCUGGAACAAGUUCUGCUUUGGUUCAUUCGGAGGUGAAAUAAACAAAUAAUUAUCUGCCGGGGAAAAAAUUCACGUUUUCAGAGAGCAACGGUUUGUUGGCUGUGAGUGUGAUUUGGGGGGAGAGCAUCAGCUGCAGCCCAUGCUCUGAGUCACAGCUGAGUCCCACGGGAAUCACAGCUGCCUCAGGGCCCCGGUGGCGGUGGAUUUUCUUUGGGAUGAUGAUGAUUUGCCUCUUCUUUUACUUUUAUUGUUCUCAUCGGUUGUUGGGAGGUGGCUUUCUUUAUCACCAGAUUCCUUCCAACAGCAGUAAUACUGUGAUUCAAUAUAAUGGAAACUGAGAAACGAAUGGGGCUGACACAUUAAUAAUGUAAUGCUAACUCAUAAUCUGGUUUUGCUUUACUGAGAUUGGGUCAUGGGCUGAGACUUUUUUUCUGAGAUAAUGAAAGAAAAGGCUCAGCGGUAGUAACCAAUUGCUUGGCUCUUCUGGAGAGCAGACAUCCCUGGCAAAGAGCAGGGAGAAGCACUCCCUUCCAGAUUGUACAUUUGCCCCAGUUUUCAAACGUUAUUUCUCUGAAGAGGAAGUGCCAGCAUGUCCCAGCUACCCACAAUAGAUGACAGUGUGCUGUUGUUUCGGCCUGGGGGUCUCUUCCCCAUUCUUACCCUGCCCUUGUAGCCAGAGCAGGGGCUGGCAGUCAGGAUCAGGCCCACUCUCACCUACUGACGCUUAGCUAGAGAAGAUUCCCCAACAGCCACAUCCUAAAUUUAAUUAUUCUCCUGAUUUGCAAGUGUGUUAUUUGGAUCAAACUUUCCAGGACUAAUCAUGUGUAAAACUGAAGCUAAUUACAUCCUAUAAUGGUCCAAUCUGUGAUAGUGUGAUGAAGUUAAGAGAAAGAAAGUGAGCUCUUUAGCUGUGCAAUUGUCUUCCCCAGGGAUCUGGAGCAAACGUCUCUGUACCUGCCUGCAUCCUUCUUAUAAUACCAAAUACCAAUAGGCAUCUUCAUACUUGUGUGUUGGCUUUAUGCAUGGUCUUUAGUUUAUGGCUCAUGUAUGAUCUUUACUGCCAUAAACCGACCUACACUGGUGAAGAAAGGAUGCAGGAGCCUUUUUGGCUUCUUUCACCUGCAAUUUCAGUAGUCCAGUGUUGGUCUGAGAGCUACUGACCUUACAGAGCACUGUAAAAACACUAUGAGAUAUGGAGGUGGGAACUGCAAACCAGCAGUGCCGUCUGCUCCUGAAGAACCUACAUGAAAGAAGUAAACAUUGCCCAUGAAAAUUUUUGAAAGAAAGGCUUUCUUUUAAAAACUAUUUCAUUUUGCUUUUCUUCAGUGAAAAACUGAAACUUCCAAAUCAAUUCCACAUCAGUGUAUUUUUUUCUUCCAUUUUAUUUUAUUUUAUUUUGGCUCUCCAGUAGAGGGAAACGUGGACCCUUACAAGCAGAACCAAUAUUUGGUUGAAGACAGGGAGAUUAAAAUUUCAGAGGCAACUGCGCUCUAUUUGUAAUUUCUCCACUAGACAACAGAAGACGUUUUACCUUAAAUUCACAACCUUGUGGUCUUUUAUUGAAUUUUAAUAAGAGUGUUCUUUAUUUAACUAGCAUUCUCUAAUCACGUAAUCACCAAAAUUAUACGGAUCCAUCAGAAUCAUAACGCCCAACUAAAGGAACUAUAACCCCACGGUUUGAUAUUAAGUUUAUUUUUGCAGAUUUCUUAUCCCUGGAGAAGCGGGGUGAGGCAGGGCCACAUUCAGUGAGAUACCUCCUGUGCAUAAAGCAAGCAUGUGCUUAACCAUGUCCCUGGGAUGGGAGUCUGCAACCUCUGUUAUUGCAGACUGUGAAUGUGUUGUCUUGAGAUGUACAAGCUGCAAUUAAGAGCUAUUGGAUAAUAACUAUGCCAUGAAAAUGUCCUAAACUAUUAAAGAGCUGAAGAUGAUAGUGUGCUUUUAAUGUUUCACAUAAACCAUUUGGGAUUUGAAGAACUUUCAGCACUCACGAG
This 10195-nucleotide long non-coding RNA is filed under the name Gallus gallus (chicken). The record is from RNAcentral. Lineage: Eukaryota; Metazoa; Chordata; Aves; Galliformes; Phasianidae.